This 251-nucleotide ribosomal RNA is filed under the name uncultured bacterium. Its description in RNAcentral is "partial 16S ribosomal RNA". It matches the Rfam family "Bacterial small subunit ribosomal RNA", at positions 524 to 776 of the family's 1533-position model. The record is from RNAcentral.
UACGUAGGGACCGAGCGUUGUCCGGAAUCAUUGGGCGUAAAGAGCGUGUAGGCGGCCUUUUAAGUCCUGCGUGAAAUCCUGCGGCUCAACCGCAGACGGUCGUGGGAAACUGGAAGGCUAGAGUGCGGGAGAGGAGAGUGGAAUUCCCGGUGUAGCGGUGAAAUGCGCAGAUAUCGGGAAGAACACCCGUGGCGAAGGCGGCUCUCUGGAACGCAACUGACGCUGAGACGCGAAAGCGUGGGAGCAACAGG